RNAcentral lists this ribosomal RNA (105 nucleotides) under Puccinia buxi. RNAcentral describes it as "partial 5.8S ribosomal RNA". It matches the Rfam family "5.8S ribosomal RNA", at positions 51 to 154 of the family's 154-position model. Rfam says of the family: 5.8S ribosomal RNA (5.8S rRNA) is a component of the large subunit of the eukaryotic ribosome. The record is from RNAcentral. Lineage: Eukaryota; Fungi; Basidiomycota; Pucciniomycetes; Pucciniales; Pucciniaceae.
AAAUGUGAUAAGUAAUGUGAAUUGCAGAAUUCAGUGAAUCAUCAAAUCUUUGAACGCACCUUGCACCUUUUGGCAUUCCAAAAGGUAUACCUGUUUGAGUGUCAU